UACAGAGGUCCCAAGCGUUGUUCGGAUUCAUUGGGCGUAAAGGGUGCGUAGGCGGCGCGGUAAGUCGGGUGUGAAAUCUCGGAGCUUAACUCCGAAACUGCAUUCGAUACUGCCGUGCUUGAGGACUGGAGAGGAGACUGGAAUUCACGGUGUAGCGGUGAAAUGCGUAGAUAUCGUAAGGAAGACCAGUGGCGAAGGCGGGUCUCUGGACAGUUCCUGACGCUGAGGCACGAAGGCCAGGGGAGCAAACGGG
Molecule: ribosomal RNA, 253 nt
Filed under: uncultured bacterium
Lineage: Bacteria
Description: partial 16S ribosomal RNA
Rfam family: Bacterial small subunit ribosomal RNA
Source: RNAcentral